AGAGUUUGAUCAUGGCUCAGAUUGAACGCUGGCGGCAGGCCUAACACAUGCAAGUCGAGCGGUAGCACAGAGAGCUUGCUCUCGGGUGACGAGCGGCGGACGGGUGAGUAAUGUCUGGGAAACUGCCUGAUGGAGGGGGAUAACUACUGGAAACGGUAGCUAAUACCGCAUAACGUCGCAAGACCAAAGUGGGGGACCUUCGGGCCUCAUGCCAUCAGAUGUGCCCAGAUGGGAUUAGCUAGUAGGUGGGGUAACGGCUCACCUAGGCGACGAUCCCUAGCUGGUCUGAGAGGAUGACCAGCCACACUGGAACUGAGACACGGUCCAGACUCCUACGGGAGGCAGCAGUGGGGAAUAUUGCACAAUGGGCGCAAGCCUGAUGCAGCCAUGCCGCGUGUGUGAAGAAGGCCUUCGGGUUGUAAAGCACUUUCAGCGGGGAGGAAGGCGUUAAGGUUAAUAACCUUGUCGAUUGACGUUACCCGCAGAAGAAGCACCGGCUAACUCCGUGCCAGCAGCCGCGGUAAUACGGAGGGUGCAAGCGUUAAUCGGAAUUACUGGGCGUAAAGCGCACGCAGGCGGUCUGUCAAGUCGGAUGUGAAAUCCCCGGGCUCAACCUGGGAACUGCAUUCGAAACUGGCAGGCUAGAGUCUUGUAGAGGGGGGUAGAAUUCCAGGUGUAGCGGUGAAAUGCGUAGAGAUCUGGAGGAAUACCGGUGGCGAAGGCGGCCCCCUGGACAAAGACUGACGCUCAGGUGCGAAAGCGUGGGGAGCAAACAGGAUUAGAUACCCUGGUAGUCCACGCCGUAAACGAUGUCGAUUUGGAGGUUGUGCCCUUGAGGCGUGGCUUCCGGAGCUAACGCGUUAAAUCGACCGCCUGGGGAGUACGGCCGCAAGGUUAAAACUCAAAUGAAUUGACGGGGGCCCGCACAAGCGGUGGAGCAUGUGGUUUAAUUCGAUGCAACGCGAAGAACCUUACCUGGUCUUGACAUCCACAGAACUUUCCAGAGAUGGAUUGGUGCCUUCGGGAACUGUGAGACAGGUGCUGCAUGGCUGUCGUCAGCUCGUGUUGUGAAAUGUUGGGUUAAGUCCCGCAACGAGCGCAACCCUUAUCCUUUGUUGCCAGCGGUUCGGCCGGGAACUCAAAGGAGACUGCCAGUGAUAAACUGGAGGAAGGUGGGGAUGACGUCAAGUCAUCAUGGCCCUUACGACCAGGGCUACACACGUGCUACAAUGGCAUAUACAAAGAGAAGCGACCUCGCGAGAGCAAGCGGACCUCAUAAAGUAUGUCGUAGUCCGGAUUGGAGUCUGCAACUCGACUCCAUGAAGUCGGAAUCGCUAGUAAUCGUAGAUCAGAAUGCUACGGUGAAUACGUUCCCGGGCCUUGUACACACCGCCCGUCACACCAUGGGAGUGGGUUGCAAAAGAAGUAGGUAGCUUAACCUUCGGGAGGGCGCUUACCACUUUGUGAUUCAUGACUGGGGUGAAGUCGUAACAAGGUAACCGUAGGGGAACCUGCGGUUGGAUCACCU
This 1528-nucleotide ribosomal RNA is filed under the name Klebsiella pneumoniae. RNAcentral describes it as "bacterial SSU rRNA". It matches the Rfam family "Bacterial small subunit ribosomal RNA". Lineage: Bacteria; Pseudomonadati; Pseudomonadota; Gammaproteobacteria; Enterobacterales; Enterobacteriaceae. The record is from RNAcentral.